CUCGUAUGGUUUCUGAUCGCACCCGAGAGUGGGAGCGCUUGCCCACCUGAGCAGCGCCCCCCGAGCCCCUGGGGGAGGCCCUGAGACCCCCAGAUGAUGCUGGCAAGGUGCCGUCGAGGAGCCAAGAAGAUUGGGGAGGAUUUUCCAGAAAGUGAGAGAGGAGGAGAAUUUUAGAAAACAUAUUCCUGUGCUAAAUACGCUGCCUGCAGGAGAAAAGAGAUAAGCUGUGAAGAAGCGUGUGUAUCGUCUGCAAGAGGCUGCGACAGGCACGUUCGCGCCAGAUGUCGGGUCUGUGUCCCUGCCGCCGGGUGCCCACCUUGCCCAUUUCGUACCGAGACACGUUCAGGGCACAGUUCCUCCAUCUCACUGCAGAAGACAUGGCCCGGCUCCGGAUGUGUGCUAGCAAACAGCCUUUUUCGAUAGGACUUAUUGAAACUAGACAAAGAGACAAACGGGUCUGGAGUAGUGAGCAGCCCGUGACCUCUCUAACUUUGAGGAAGGAAAACCACUGUCAAAAGUGCAGCUGAGCUGAGGCCUACAGAGGCCAGACAACUCUGGGCGAGUGAGCCAGAUUUGUUCCAGACUCACACAUCAACGUAACUGUUAACUGAAUUGCAGCGGCAGAGCCGGUGGAAGCGACGAUGUGCCCGCCAGGACAAACAGCUACGCUUUCGCGUCCCCGGAGAGCUCACGGGGUGCGUGGCGGGGAGGCGGGGGGCGGGGGGGGAAAAAGGAAAAGCGAAAACACGGUGCUUUUCCUUACCUAUAAACUAGCUUGUUUUGAAAAGGAAAAAAAAAAAACAAAAAACCACUCAGAGGCCUCUGAGGCUUGAACAGUUCUUGUAAGAGCAGCUCCCUGGGUUGUACCUCCCUGCGGGAGGGGGCAUCCCAGCAAAGCAGAGGAGACUUUAAAGCCGCGUUAGAGGCAGAGCGGGGAAACUGGAAAGAGAAGGAUGGGAAAGUCCAAAAGGGAUUUUCUUUUCCUGCUUGGCUUGAAGAGAUAAUUCAAUUCCUUUAACAUCUCCCUUAUGCGGACAGUUUCUUACAAUCUUUUGGAUGCUGAGCUUGGGCUUCUCCGAAAUCAUAUAAACCUGACCCCCCCCCCCACCAACCCACUCGAGCUUCUUUUUUCUGUUUACUACAUCAGGAAACAAAUCUCGUUUAGAGGGUGACCGCUUUAACUCACUAUCUGCAUUUAUGAAAUGUAAUGUACGUAUUUGGUUUCUUUGAAAAUCUCCCGUUACAGUACUGGGAAUGUUACUCUGAUGU
This is a non-coding RNA of Struthio camelus australis, 1269 nucleotides long. Lineage: Eukaryota; Metazoa; Chordata; Aves; Struthioniformes; Struthionidae. The record is from RefSeq and is a predicted model, not a curated record.